GGCCCGUUGGUCAAGUGGUUAAGACACUGCCCUUUCACGGCAGUAACACGGGUUCGAAUCCCGUACGGGUCACCA
Molecule: transfer RNA, 75 nt
Filed under: Salibacterium qingdaonense
Lineage: Bacteria; Bacillati; Bacillota; Bacilli; Caryophanales; Bacillaceae
Also listed under: 3 other names
Description: tRNA_Glu_TTC
Rfam family: tRNA
About the family: Transfer RNA (tRNA) molecules are approximately 80 nucleotides in length. Their secondary structure includes four short double-helical elements and three loops (D, anti-codon, and T loops).
Source: RNAcentral